GAUGAACGCUGGCGGCGUGCCUAAUACAUGCAAGUCGAGCGAACGGACGAGAAGCUUGCUUCUCUGAUGUUAGCGGCGGACGGGUGAGUAACACGUGGAUAACCUACCUAUAAGACUGGGAUAACUUCGGGAAACCGGAGCUAAUACCGGAUAAUAUUUUGAACCGCAUGGUUCAAAAGUGAAAGACGGUCUUGCUGUCACUUAUAGAUGGAUCCGCGCUGCAUUAGCUAGUUGGUAAGGUAACGGCUUACCAAGGCAACGACGCAUAGCCGACCUGAGAGGGUGAUCGGCCACACUGGAACUGAGACACGGUCCAGACUCCUACGGGAGGCAGCAGUAGGGAAUCUUCCGCAAUGGGCGAAAGCCUGACGGAGCAACGCCGCGUGAGUGAUGAAGGUCUUCGGAUCGUAAAACUCUGUUAUUAGGGAAGAACAUAUGUGUAAGUAACUGUGCACAUCUUGACGGUACCUAAUCAGAAAGCCACGGCUAACUACG
Molecule: ribosomal RNA, 495 nt
Filed under: uncultured bacterium
Lineage: Bacteria
Description: partial 16S ribosomal RNA
Rfam family: Bacterial small subunit ribosomal RNA
Source: RNAcentral